Molecule: long non-coding RNA, 464 nt
Filed under: Phasianus colchicus (ring-necked pheasant)
Lineage: Eukaryota; Metazoa; Chordata; Aves; Galliformes; Phasianidae
Description: lncRNA (ENSPCLG00000006006.1)
Source: RNAcentral
CUUUGCUGAUCUUCUCUGGGUCUGCUUAAGCCUUUUGGCAGGAGGUAACUGGGGCAACAUUGUGCUGCUGAUGCACACGGUGGCAUAAUGGUGGCUGCUGCCCUAUCAGCUCCAGCACUGCUGUUCCAUGGCACUGCUUUCGUGCUGCUGGGCCCCUUUCUGGUGUUGUUGAGCACCUGCUGCAUUAACCAAUGGACUGCCCAGGAAAUAUGUGUAAUUUUGGUCACUUGGCUGCAGGCAGCUGCCACGAGGAAGCACAUGGGUGUGCACGUUCCUUCAGCAGCACUCAGCAGGCAAUGCAGCCAGCUUUCUGGAGAGAUGGGACUGCAGACCACACGUUGGGAACCCAGAGCCUGGAGCAGACAAUGCGUUCGCUCACUGCUAAGGAGGGUCAAGUGACUGUCACCAGCUCUGCACCGAGGAGGUGUAACCUGCGUCGCAGCUGCCAGCAUCGCCUGGCUUGA